RNAcentral lists this ribosomal RNA (579 nucleotides) under Bourgoinrana rubescens. Its description in RNAcentral is "SSU rRNA". It matches the Rfam family "Eukaryotic small subunit ribosomal RNA", at positions 1206 to 1786 of the family's 1831-position model. Lineage: Eukaryota; Metazoa; Arthropoda; Insecta; Hemiptera; Cercopidae. The record is from RNAcentral.
CGGGAAACCUCACCAGGCCCGGACACCGGAAGGAUUGACAGAUUGAGAGCUCUUUCUUGAUUCGGUGGGUGGUGGUGCAUGGCCGUUCUUAGUUGGUGGAGCGAUUUGUCUGGUUAAUUCCGAUAACGAACGAGACUCUAGCCUGCUAACUAGGCGAUUUCUGGUACCCACAAUAGUGUUACCGGCGAUUCAAUUUCUUCCUUAGAGGGACAGGCGGCUCCUAGCCGCACGAGACUGAGCAAUAACAGGUCUGUGAUGCCCUUAGAUGUCCUGGGCCGCACGCGCGCUACACUGAAGGAAUCAGCGUGUCUUCCCUGGCCGACAGGCCCGGGUAACCCGUUGAACCUCCUUCGUGCUAGGGAUUGGGGCUUGCAAUUGUUCCCCAUGAACGAGGAAUUCCCAGUAAGCGCGAGUCAUAAGCUCGCGUUGAUUACGUCCCUGCCCUUUGUACACACCGCCCGUCGCUACUACCGAUUGAAUGAUUUAGUGAGGUCUUCGGACUGGUGCGCGGCGGUCGGUCCCGCCGGCCGCCGAUGUUGCUGGAAAGAUGACCAAACUUGAUCAUUUAGAGGAAGUAAA